RNAcentral lists this ribosomal RNA (501 nucleotides) under uncultured bacterium. RNAcentral's name for it is "partial 16S ribosomal RNA". It matches the Rfam family "Bacterial small subunit ribosomal RNA", at positions 30 to 523 of the family's 1533-position model. The record is from RNAcentral.
AUUGAACGCUGGCGGCAUGCCUUACACAUGCAAGUCGAACGGCAGCACGGGUGCUUGCACCUGGUGGCGAGUGGCGAACGGGUGAGUAAUACAUCGGAACGUACCUUAUCGUGGGGGAUAACGCAGCGAAAGUUGCGCUAAUACCGCAUACGCCCUGAGGGGGAAAGCGGGGGACCGUAAGGCCUCGCGCGAUUAGAGCGGCCGAUGUCUGAUUAGCUUGUUGGUGAGGUAAAAGCUCACCAAGGCGAUGAUCAGUAGCUGGUCUGAGAGGACGAGCAGCCACACUGGGACUGAGACACGGCCCAGACUCCUACGGGAGGCAGCAGUGGGGAAUUUUGAACAAUGGGGGCAACCCUGAUCCAGCAAUGCCGCGUGAGUGAAGAAGGCCUUUGGGUUGUAAAGCUCUUUUGUCAGGGAAGAAACAGCAGCUCUAACACAGUCUGCGAAUGACGGUACCUGAAGAAUAAGCACCGGCUAACUACGUGCCAGCCGCCGCCGUAA